Molecule: long non-coding RNA, 206 nt
Filed under: Prunus persica (peach)
Lineage: Eukaryota; Viridiplantae; Streptophyta; Magnoliopsida; Rosales; Rosaceae
Description: long non-coding RNA (PPER_LNC006762)
Source: RNAcentral
GGGCUUGGGCUCGUGCCGUGCUUGAAGCGGGCUUGGGCCAUGGGCUGGCCCGGUCCAUAGGACCUAUUUUUUGAUCCCGGCCCGGCCCAAGUUUUCGUGUCGUGUCGAGCACGGCCCUUUAAUAUUCAUGCUUGUGCCGUGCCGUGCCGUACCUCAUUUAAACGGACUGGGCUCGUGCCGUGCUGGGCCAGCCCGUCCCGUUUGAC